UACAGAGGGGGCGAGCGUUGUUCGGAAUUACUGGGCGUAAAGGGCGCGUAGGCGGCCUGCUAAGUCGAACGUGAAAUCCCCAGGCUUAACCUGGGAACUGCGUCCGAUACUGGUGGGCUUGAAUCCGGGAGAGGGAUGUGGAAUUCCAGGUGUAGCGGUGAAAUGCGUAGAUAUCUGGAGGAACACCGGUGGCGAAGGCGGCAUCCUGGACCGGUAUUGACGCUGAGGCGCGAAAGCUAGGGGAGCAAACGGG
Molecule: ribosomal RNA, 253 nt
Filed under: uncultured bacterium
Lineage: Bacteria
Description: partial 16S ribosomal RNA
Rfam family: Bacterial small subunit ribosomal RNA
Source: RNAcentral